UACGUAGGUGGCAAGCGUUGUCCGGAUUUACUGGGCGUAAAGGGCGUGCAGGCGGCUUGUUAAGUGCAGGGUGAAAGCUCCCGGCUCAACUGGGAGAGGUUCUUGCAUACUGGCGAGCUCGAGGGAGGCAGAGGAAAGUGGAAUUCCCGGUGUAGUGGUGAUAUGCGUAGAUAUCGGGAGGAACACCUGUGGCGAAGGCGGCUUUCCGGGCCUUACCUGACGCUGAGACGCGAAAGCGUGGGGAGCGAACCGG
Molecule: ribosomal RNA, 253 nt
Filed under: uncultured bacterium
Lineage: Bacteria
Description: partial 16S ribosomal RNA
Rfam family: Bacterial small subunit ribosomal RNA
Source: RNAcentral